Non-coding RNA from Pelobates cultripes (western spadefoot toad), 740 nucleotides. The record is from the annotation of a GenBank genome assembly. Lineage: Eukaryota; Metazoa; Chordata; Amphibia; Anura; Pelobatidae.
GCUAAGGAAUGCAUAGCAUAGUAUAAACAAGUGAUAAGAAGAAUAUAAUCAAAUCUAAACACAGACAAUUGUGACAGAGAAGAUUAAAUAAUAAUAUUUAACUGUCUAUAUAUAUAAGGUACCAUUGUAUGGAAAAGGGUAAACUUAGUUCAUGAUCUGCCAUAUCAGAAAUUAUAGCAGAUUUGCCAGACACAUAGUCUGGACAAAAUUUAAGAAACCCUUUGAAAUUUAAAUUAUGGCACUAUAAAGAUAACGCAAAAUGACGUCAAAAUAGCCACCAGGAAAAGUUAACUCUUUCCUGGAUAGGUAUGUUUAGUAGGACAAGACUGCCCUCUAUAGACCAAAUACCUAAUUUGCGAUCUGGAAGAUAACCACACCUCUAGUGCUUCUAUUGGGUUAUCAACUGAUGACGUACAGAGAGUCUGGCCCUUUAAAAGUUAAGACAAAGGGAAGAUAGAGGUAUAGGCAAGGGAGGCAGGAGAUGCAAAGGAGAGGAGAGAGGAAUUGGAAGUUUGGGGAUUCCAACUCGGACAACAUCUGAGACUAACACUCUACUCCUAAAACUCUAACACUUAGAAUUUACUGACUUUCUAACCAACACCUCCAUGCAGAGACACAUCCAAAUAAGUUCCUGAGACUACCAAUCGGAUGAAAUAUCUACUCAACUGGUAAUUAUACUGGUUUCAUUUAAUUAAAUUAAUUAAAAUGUAUUAAUAGCAUGAUAUAUGACUAGGAUAAAG